This 671-nucleotide ribosomal RNA is filed under the name Salmonella enterica subsp. enterica serovar Salford. RNAcentral describes it as "partial 23S ribosomal RNA". It matches the Rfam family "Bacterial large subunit ribosomal RNA", at positions 911 to 1580 of the family's 2925-position model. Lineage: Bacteria; Pseudomonadati; Pseudomonadota; Gammaproteobacteria; Enterobacterales; Enterobacteriaceae. The record is from RNAcentral.
UGUUUCGGCUAGGGGGCCAUCCCGGCUUACCAACCCGAUGCAAACUGCGAAUACCGGAGAAUGUUAUCACGGGAGACACACGGCGGGUGCUAACGUCCGUCGUGAAGAGGGAAACAACCCAGACCGCCAGCUAAGGUCCCAAAGUCAUGGUUAAGUGGGAAACGAUGUGGGAAGGCCCAGACAGCCAGGAUGUUGGCUUAGAAGCAGCCAUCAUUUAAAGAAAGCGUAAUAGCUCACUGGUCGAGUCGGCCUGCGCGGAAGAUGUAACGGGGCUAAACCAUGCACCGAAGCUGCGGCAGCGACACUCAGGUGUUGUUGGGUAGGGGAGCGUUCUGUAAGCCUGUGAAGGUGUGUCGUGAGGCAUGCUGGAGGUAUCAGAAGUGCGAAUGCUGACAUAAGUAACGAUAAAGCGGGUGAAAAGCCCGCUCGCCGGAAGACCAAGGGUUCCUGUCCAACGUUAAUCGGGGCAGGGUGAGUCGACCCCUAAGGCGAGGCCGAAAGGCGUAGUCGAUGGGAAACGGGUUAAUAUUCCCGUACUUGGUGUUACUGCGAAGGGGGGACGGAGAAGGCUAUGUUGGCCGGGCGACGGUUGUCCCGGUUUAAGCGUGUAGGUGUGUGUUCCAGGUAAAUCCGGUUCACUUUAACACUGAGGCGUGAUGACGAGGCACUAC